This 468-nucleotide ribosomal RNA is filed under the name uncultured bacterium. RNAcentral's name for it is "partial 16S ribosomal RNA". It matches the Rfam family "Bacterial small subunit ribosomal RNA", at positions 28 to 507 of the family's 1533-position model. The record is from RNAcentral.
GACGAACGCUGGCGGCGUGCUUAACACAUGCAAGUCGAACGGAAAGGCCCUGCUUUUGUGGGGUGCUCGAGUGGCGAACGGGUGAGUAACACGUGAGUAACCUGCCCUUGACUUUGGGAUAACUUCAGGAAACUGGGGCUAAUACCGGAUAGGAGCUCCUGCUGCAUGGUGGGGGUUGGAAAGUUUCGGCGGUUGGGGAUGGACUCGCGGCUUAUCAGCUUGUUGGUGGGGUAGUGGCUUACCAAGGCUUUGACGGGUAGCCGGCCUGAGAGGGUGACCGGCCACAUUGGUACUGAGAUACGGCCCAGACUCCUACGGGAGGCAGCAGUGGGGAAUAUUGCACAAUGGGCGGAAGCCUGAUGCAGCAACGCCGCGUGCGGGAUGCCGGCCUUCGGGUUGUAAACCGCUUUCGCCUGUGACGAAGCGUGAGUGACGGUAAUGGGUAAAGAAGCACCGGCUAACUACGUG